This 739-nucleotide ribosomal RNA is filed under the name Leifsonia sp. Its description in RNAcentral is "bacterial SSU rRNA". It matches the Rfam family "Bacterial small subunit ribosomal RNA", at positions 78 to 830 of the family's 1533-position model. The record is from RNAcentral. Lineage: Bacteria; Bacillati; Actinomycetota; Actinomycetes; Micrococcales; Microbacteriaceae.
GCUUGCUCUAGGGGAUUAGUGGCGAACGGGUGAGUAACACGUGAGUAACCUGCCCUUGACUCUGGGAUAACCUCCGGAAACGGAAGCUAAUACCGGAUAUGACGCACGGAGGCAUCUCCUGUGCGUGGAAAGAACUUCGGUCAAGGAUGGACUCGCGGCCUAUCAGGUAGUUGGUGAGGUAACGGCCCACCAAGCCUACGACGGGUAGCCGGCCUGAGAGGGUGACCGGCCACACUGGGACUGAGACACGGCCCAGACUCCUACGGGAGGCAGCAGUGGGGAAUAUUGCACAAUGGGCGCAAGCCUGAUGCAGCAACGCCGCGUGAGGGAUGACGGCCUUCGGGUUGUAAACCUCUUUUAGUAGGGAAGAAGCGAAAGUGACGGUACCUGCAGAAAAAGCACCGGCUAACUACGUGCCAGCAGCCGCGGUAAUACGUAGGGUGCGAGCGUUGUCCGGAAUUAUUGGGCGUAAAGAGCUCGUAGGCGGUCUGUCGCGUCUGCUGUGAAAACCCGAGGCUCAACCUCGGGCCUGCAGUGGGUACGGGCAGACUAGAGUGCGGUAGGGGAGAAUGGAAUUCCUGGUGUAGCGGUGGAAUGCGCAGAUAUCAGGAGGAACACCGAUGGCGAAGGCAGUUCUCUGGGCCGUAACUGACGCUGAGGAGCGAAAGCGUGGGGAGCGAACAGGAUUAGAUACCCUGGUAGUCCACGCCGUAAACGUUGGGCGCUAGAUGUGGGGACC